This 690-nucleotide ribosomal RNA is filed under the name uncultured bacterium. Its description in RNAcentral is "bacterial SSU rRNA". It matches the Rfam family "Bacterial small subunit ribosomal RNA", at positions 32 to 714 of the family's 1533-position model. The record is from RNAcentral.
AACGCUAGCUACAGGCUUAACACAUGCAAGUCGAGGGGCAGCAUUGGAGUAGCAAUACUUCAGAUGGCGACCGGCGCACGGGUGAGUAACACGUAUCCAACCUGCCGCUUACUCGGGGAUAGCCUUUCGAAAGAAAGAUUAAUACCCGAUGGUAUAAAGAGUUCGCAUGUUCUCUUUAUUAAAGAAUUUCGGUAAGCGAUGGGGAUGCGUUCCAUUAGAUAGUUGGCGGGGUAACGGCCCACCAAGUCUACGAUGGAUAGGGGUUCUGAGAGGAAGGUCCCCCACAUUGGAACUGAGACACGGUCCAAACUCCUACGGGAGGCAGCAGUGAGGAAUAUUGGUCAAUGGACGAGAGUCUGAACCAGCCAAGUAGCGUGAAGGAUGACUGCCCUAUGGGUUGUAAACUUCUUUUAUAAGGGAAUAAAGUGAGGGACGUGUCCCUUUUUGUAUGUACCUUAUGAAUAAGCAUCGGCUAACUCCGUGCCAGCAGCCGCGGUAAUACGGAGGAUGCGAGCGUUAUCCGGAUUUAUUGGGUUUAAAGGGAGCGUAGACGGGUCGUUAAGUCAGCUGUGAAAGUUUGAGGCUCAACCUUAAAAUUGCAGUUGAUACUGGCGUCCUUGAGUACGGUUGAGGCAGGCGGAAUUCGUGGUGUAGCGGUGAAAUGCUUAGAUAUCACGAAGAACUCCGAUU